AAGGAAUAUUGGUCAAUGGAGGGAACUCUGAACCAGCCAUUCCGCGUGGAGGAAGAAGGCCCUAUGGGUUGUAAACUUCUUUUAGAUGGGAAUAAAAUGCCCCUUGCGAGGGGUACUGAAGGUACCAUCAGAAUAAGCACCGGCUAACUCCGUGCCAGCAGCCGCGGUAAUACGGAGGGUGCGAGCGUUAUCCGGAUUUACUGGGUUUAAAGGGUGCGUAGGCGGGUUGAUAAGUCUGUGGUGAAAGGUUGUAGCUUAACUAUAAAAUUGCCAUGGAUACUGUUAAUCUUGAAUUACAAUGAGGAUGGCGGAAUGUGACAUGUAGCGGUGAAAUGCAUAGAUAUGUCAUAGAACACCAAUUGCGAAGGCAGCUAUCUGGUUGAGGAUUGACGCUGAGGCACGAAAGCGUGGGGAUCGAAC
This 420-nucleotide ribosomal RNA is filed under the name uncultured bacterium. RNAcentral describes it as "bacterial SSU rRNA". It matches the Rfam family "Bacterial small subunit ribosomal RNA", at positions 356 to 773 of the family's 1533-position model. The record is from RNAcentral.